RNAcentral lists this ribosomal RNA (871 nucleotides) under uncultured bacterium. RNAcentral's name for it is "bacterial SSU rRNA". It matches the Rfam family "Bacterial small subunit ribosomal RNA", at positions 633 to 1506 of the family's 1533-position model. The record is from RNAcentral.
CGGGCAGACUAGAGUGCGUAGGGGAGAUUGGAUUCCUGGUGUAGCGGGGAAUGCGCAGAUAUCAGGAGGACACCGAUGGCGAAGCAGAUCUCUGGGCCGUACUGACGCUGAGGAGCGAAAGGGUGGGGAGCAAACAGGCUUAGAUACCCUGGUAGUCCACCCCGUAAACGUUGGGAACUAGUUGUGGGGUCCAUUCCACGGAUUCCGUGACGCAGCUAACGCAUUAAGUUCCCCGCCUGGGGAGUACGGCCGCAAGGCUAAAACUCAAAGGAAUUGACGGGGACCCGCACAAGCGACGGAGCAUGCGGAUUAAUUCGAUGCAACGCGAAGAACCUUACCAAGACUUGACAUAUACGAGAACGGGCCAGAAAUGGUCAACUCUUUGGACACUCGUAAACAGGUGGUGCAUGGUUGUCGUCAGCUCGUGUCGUGAGAUGUUGGGUUAAGUCCCGCAACGAGCGCAACCCUCGUUCUAUGUUGCCAGCACGUAAUGGUGGGAACUCAUGGGAUACUGCCGGGGUCAACUCGGAGGAAGGUGGGGAUGACGUCAAAUCAUCAUGCCCCUUAUGUCUUGGGCUUCACGCAUGCUACAAUGGCCGGUACAAAGGGCUGCAAUACCGCGAGGUGGAGCGAAUCCCAAAAAGCCGGUCCCAGUUCGGAUUGAGGUCUGCAACUCGACCUCAUGAAGUCGGAGUCGCUAGUAAUCGCAGAUCAGCAACGCUGCGGUGAAUACGUUCCCGGGUCUUGUACACACCGCCCGUCAAGUCAUGAAAGUCGGUAACACCUGAAGCCGGUGGCCUAACCCUUGUGGAGGGAGCUGUCGAAGGUGGGAUCGGUAAUUAGGACUAAGUCGUAACAAGGUAACCAAGGG